Molecule: transfer RNA, 44 nt
Filed under: Canis lupus (wolf)
Lineage: Eukaryota; Metazoa; Chordata; Mammalia; Carnivora; Canidae
Description: partial tRNA-Glu
Source: RNAcentral
GUUCUUAUAGUUGAAAUACAACGAUGAUUUUUCAUGUCAUUAGU